This 221-nucleotide ribosomal RNA is filed under the name uncultured bacterium. RNAcentral describes it as "partial 16S ribosomal RNA". It matches the Rfam family "Bacterial small subunit ribosomal RNA", at positions 1280 to 1500 of the family's 1533-position model. The record is from RNAcentral.
CUACGGUCUCAGUUCAGAUUGCAGGCUGCAACUCGCCUGCAUGAAGUUGGAAUUGCUAGUAAUCGCGAAUCAGAAUGUCGCGGUGAAUACGUUCCCGGGCCUUGUACACACCGCCCGUCACACCAUGAGAGUCGAUAACACCCGAAGCCUGUGAGCUAACCGUAAGGAGGCAGCAGUCGAAGGUGGGGUUGAUGAUUGGGGUGAAGUCGUAACAAGGUACC